AACGCGAAGAACCUUACCAGCCCUUGACAUGUCCCGUAUGGGGCCGAGAGAUCGGCUCCUUCAGUUCGGCUGGCGGGAACACAGGUGCUGCAUGGCUGUCGUCAGCUCGUGUCGUGAGAUGUUGGGUUAAGUCCCGCAACGAGCGCAACCCUCACCUUCAGUUGCCAUCAGGUAAGGCUGGGCACUCUGAAGGAACUGCCGGUGACAAGCCGGAGGAAGGCGGGGAUGACGUCAAGUCCUCAUGGCCUUUAUGGGCUGGGCUACACACGUGCUACAAUGGCGGUGACAGAGGGAAGCGAAGGGGUGACCCUUGGCCAAUCUCAAAAAGCCGUCUCAGUUCGGAUUGUUCUCUGCAACUCGAGAGCAUGAAGCUGGAAUCGCUAGUAAUCGCGGAUCAGCACGCCGCGGUGAAUACGUUCCCGGGCCUUGUACCACCGGCUAC
This 442-nucleotide ribosomal RNA is filed under the name uncultured bacterium. Its description in RNAcentral is "bacterial SSU rRNA". It matches the Rfam family "Bacterial small subunit ribosomal RNA", at positions 958 to 1386 of the family's 1533-position model. The record is from RNAcentral.